CAAGUCGCACGGGAUAAGACAUGUAGCAAUACCUGUUUUAUUUAGUGGCGCACGGGUGAGUAACACGUGAAUUACAUGCCCUAUAGUGGGGAAUAGCCCAGGGAAACUUGGAUUAAUACCCCAUAGUCUCGCAAGAGUAAAGGUGGCCAGCAAUGGCUGUCGCUAUAGGAUUGGUUCGCGCCCUAUCAGCUUGUUGGUGAGGUAACGGCUCACCAAGGCAAUGACGGGUACCUGGUCUGAGAGGACGAUCAGGCACACUGGAACUGAGACACGGUCCAGACACCUACGGGUGGCAGCAGUCGAGAAUAAUUCACAAUGGGGGCAACCCUGAUGGUGCAACGCCGCGUGGAGGAUGACGGUCUUCGGAUUGUAAACUCCUGUCAUCCGGGAGAAAGACCUGGGAGUGAAUAGCUCACAGGGUUGAUAGUACCGGAAGAGGAAGGGACGGCUAACUUCGUGCCAGCAGCCGCGGUAAUACGAAGGUCCCGAGCGUUGUUCGGAAUCACUGGGCGUAAAGGGAGCGUAGGCGGUUUGGUAAGUCAGAUGCGAAAUCCCGGGGCUCAACCCCGGAACUGCAUCCGAUACUGCCAGACUUGAGUAAUGGAGAGGUAGCUGGAAUUAUCGGUGUAGCAGUGAAAUGCGUAGAUAUCGAUAGGAACACUCGUGGCGAAAGCGAGCUACUGGACAUUUACUGACGCUGAGGCUCGAAGGCUAGGGGAGCGAAAGGGAUUAGAUACCCCUGUAGUCCUAGCAGUAAACGGUGCACGCUUGGUGUGAGGGGAUUCGACCCCCCUUGUGCCGGAGCUAACGCGUUAAGCGUGCCGCCUGGGAAGUACGGUCGCAAGACUAAAACUCAAAGAAAUUGACGG
This 869-nucleotide ribosomal RNA is filed under the name uncultured bacterium. RNAcentral's name for it is "bacterial SSU rRNA". It matches the Rfam family "Bacterial small subunit ribosomal RNA", at positions 58 to 916 of the family's 1533-position model. The record is from RNAcentral.